AUGACGGCGCAGGCGCUCGCGCCGCCGCUGCCGGAGCCGCACAAGGCAGGGAAGUGGGCGGGCACGCUGCUGGCCGCCGCCAUCUACACGCCGCGGGUCUACUACCUACAGGGCUUCUACGUCAUCUCCUACGGCCUCGGCAUCUACCUCCUCAACCUCCUCAUCGGCUUCCUCUCCCCCAUGGUCGACCCGGAGCUCGAGGCGCUCGACCAGGCCGGCCCCGCGCUCCCCACCCGUAGCAACAACGAGUUCAAGCCCUUCAUCCGCCGCCUCCCCGAGUUCAAGUUCUGGUAUUUACCAGGGUGGUGCGUGGAAGACCUUGUGAAUAUCUUUGAGGUGUUCCUGCCUCAGCUUCUCCUGUACCCUAACCCCUCGGACCCAUGA
Molecule: ribosomal RNA, 384 nt
Filed under: Triticum aestivum (bread wheat)
Lineage: Eukaryota; Viridiplantae; Streptophyta; Magnoliopsida; Poales; Poaceae
Description: partial small subunit ribosomal RNA
Source: RNAcentral